Molecule: long non-coding RNA, 238 nt
Organism: Musca domestica (house fly)
Lineage: Eukaryota; Metazoa; Arthropoda; Insecta; Diptera; Muscidae
Exons: 2
Source: RefSeq, a predicted model, not a curated record
UUGACGUUAGAGGAAAAUUACAAAAUUACAAUUGUUUUGUUUCUUGGUAAAAAUUGGAUAACACUUGAAAAGAGGAAUUUAUUUUAAUAUUCUGAUUGUAUGUGAAUAGAUGAAAUAUGGAAAUGAUUUAGUAAAUAACCCAAGACCAGAUUUACAUUAACCCAACAUUGACAAUUGGCACAGGACAUUUGCCGAUUAUCAUGUGAGAAAAUAUAGAUAUUUUUAAAACAAUCUUAAA